Molecule: long non-coding RNA, 30382 nt
Filed under: Lathyrus oleraceus (garden pea)
Lineage: Eukaryota; Viridiplantae; Streptophyta; Magnoliopsida; Fabales; Fabaceae
Description: Pisum sativum (pea) long non-coding RNA (PSAT_LNC030789)
Source: RNAcentral
CAAAAUAUGAAUCAAAUUAAUAUAUAUCUAAAAUUAAGAAAAUGGAGUUAUUUACAAAAUGUCAUCUAUAAUAAUUAAAUUAUUUAGGUAAUCAUUUAAAUAUAAUUUGUUAAAUCAAAUUAAUAUAUAUCUAAAAUUAAGAAAAUGGAGUUAUUUACAAAAUGUCAUCUAUAAUAAUUAAAUUAUUUAGGUAAUCAUUUAAAUAUAAUUUGUUACUUAAUGAGUAAAUAACUUUUUUUAAAGAGUUAGAAAGUAUUUCUUCCUAUACUAGCUAUAUACCAAAUACUAAUUCCCGGUUCUCGUCCAUCUAGUAAUAAAACAAGAUUAUAAUAAAACCAAUUGAGGUCAAAUAAAAACUUUAAAAAAAAAUUAGAAUGAUGGUAGUAUAAAUGAUAUAACACUGUGUCUCUCAUUCCCAUUUACUAUACCUAAUAUGCUAUUAACAAACAUAAAGACAUUCACAUGAUAUGAAUUAACAAAAUAGUGAUUAAAAGGAAGAAAAAUAAAUAAGCAGUACUAAUUAAAAGUGAUAGCAACAGUAACUGAAGUAAAACACCUUUUAAAAUGACACUAAACACUUUUCUCCUAGAGCUACCACAAACAACAUCUACACAAUCCCCAAAUGUCCAAUAUACAGGAUACUCACAAAUGCUUUUAUACAAAACAAACACCAUAACAAUGUAAACAAAUCAAAAUUAACAAGAAAAGCCUAUAGAAAAAACAGUACAUGAUAUACCUUGAACCUUAUAAGAAUCUUCCACUGAAUCAAUGUUAUAGAAACUAGUAUAAUAAUGUAGCAUAAUAAAAAAAUAUCUUAUGAAUAUUUACAAGGUUAUUCAUCCCGAAACACACUCCAUGGCAGAACAUACGGCAUUGAAAUUUAUGCAAUAAAACCGACAUGUAAUGCAACCAUAUUGAAACCGAAACAAAUAUUAGAGCUAUAAGCAUGAUUCAACAGCUAGAACAGAACCAAAAUAUGAUACAAGUUCCUGUUUAUAACAGUAUUUUCAACAUUAUAAUAUCGAAUACCAAAACGGUAUAACCCAAUCGGAAAGGAAGUAAAUAUGCAAUUGAAACAGAAAUAUAAUCGAAACAUUUACACGUCAAAGCUGCGAAUGAUAUUUGAUUUUAAACGCGACAACUUAAGCAUACAACAACAACAACACGAUCACAUCGAAAAUACCCCGGAAAAGAAUAUUACAACAUACCCAUCAGUAUAGAUUACUGCAACCGAAUCAAAACCAAAACUAUGGCUGUAACAAACAGCAUAACAUCCAGGAAAACAUGACAUAAACUGUUAUGCGCGAUGCCAACCACAACAACAUAUGACAUUCAUGGUGCAACCUCAACAUACUUAUUUUCAUUUAUUUUCUUAAAAAUAAACACAGCAUCAAUAUACAAAGUUAAAUAUAUCGAAAUUGACGAUUUUGAAUCUUCAUUACAAAAUAUCCGGUUUCGAUAUCACAAAUGCAACUAGCAGUAACUCAAAAUAUGUUGCAUCAUUAACAACUUUUACCACAUGAUUUUGAAAUCUAACCAUAAUGUAAUGAACCCAAAUCGAUAUUUAAGACGAGAAACCAAUACGCAAAAACGGAGAUGCAAUGCAAAUUAAGACCAAAUAACAACAUUUUCCGAUAACAACAUAUCUAAAAGAUAGUCGGCAACACUAACAUAUCUAAAAGAUAGUCGGCAACAAUCUUGAUAGAAAAUAAUCGCAGCAACUUCACCAUUAAGCCAGUACCGAAAUACACAGUGAAUGAACAAUAUAAUCUAAUUAUUUCUAAAAAAAAUCUGAACAUUGAACAAUAUAGUAAAUUUCGAUUCGUUACCGUCGGCAAAACGUUAUCGUGUCGUGUUGAACUCGCUACUGCUGUAUGUCUUCUCUAGGAGUGAUGUUUGAUUUUGUUUGUGGAAGUGGUUUCCUUUCAUACGUUAUGUGCUUGAUGAGCCUUAAAAACUUCACAAUCUGAAUCGUAACUAGCAACAACCAUUAAAGUUGUAUCUACAACAUGGUCGUCAUCCUUGAGAGACCAAGUUGAAAAGUUUGUGCUUCUCCAAGAUUUUCAAUAGCGACGUCUUGUUGUGUUUGGUGACGAUGGAGACGGUUUCUACAGCGGUUACGGAGUUGAAUCCAGUGGAAGGUUAAAGGCGAGGGUUCAAAUCCGCCACCGAUAGAGGAGAACAAAGUUUGGGGCUGCCGGCGAGCGACGGAGAGAGUACGAGUGAGGCGGUGUGUAUGUUGGUGUGGUGUAUCCAACGAUGGAUAUGGGCGGAUGGUAGGUGGUGAAGAAGAAGCGAAGACAGUGGGUGUGUGGGUUUCGCCGGUGGAGACGGACAGAGGGAGAUGAUGUCGGAAAGGGAGUAUUGGUUGUCCUCCUUUGUGGAAAAUGUGAAUAGUGUUGGUUAAAGGAAGAAGAUGAGUGAGGGUGGAAGUGUGAAGGGUUUGUUCGCGAGGAAGAUGAGAAUAAGCUUUUUUUGUUUCUGUUUUGACAGAUGAGAGGGUGAGGUAUUGAAUGGAGAGAGAGUCUAGUAGCCAAGAGAGAGGGAUAAGGUGUCCUUUUAUUUAUUUCUUUUCCAUGUUACCGUUGAAAGCUUUUUUUUCUCUUCUUUUCCAUCUUACCGUUGGAAGCUAUGCAUUGGAGAGAGAGAAUUUUUUUACUUAUUUUCAAAUUUUCUUAAAUAAUAAUAUUAAUUAAAUCCUAAUUUUGAUUGGAUUAAUGGGAUAAAUAUGGAUGGCUAAUAAUGGCCACUGAUUAAUUUGAACCGGUGGCUUGGAUUGAAUCAGAGAAACACACCAAGAAACAUACACUAUUUAAAUAAAUCAAAAUGCAUAUAAUGCCUUUUUUAGAUGAUUUAAUCGAUUUAAAACAAUUUAAAUCAAUUGAAUCAAAUAAAAUUCACAACUUUUUAAACAAUCAUGAUAAAAUUAAAAUAAUAACAUGGAAAAUUCUAUUUAUUCAAUCUGACUAUUUUGACGAAAGAACAAAAUUAAAAUGACUAAAAAUGAAUAAAAGUUGGGCGAAAAUUUGCUCGAAAAAUUAAAUCGGAUGCAUGAAAAUGAUCAGUGUGAAAUAUAUUUAUUGAAAAAUUACAGCGUGUUUUUAAAUUCUGAAAUAAAUUUGCAUCGGUUAAAAGACUCAGGCGGGUCAAAAUGCAACCGAAACAGUCGCUGAAAAAUAUAACGGGCACACCAGUUUAAACUACAUGAACCGUAUGUUAAUAAUACUGGCGUCUGCAAUUUUAAAUUUGAGACUUUUUAUCUGCUGAUUUUGUCCGUACUUGAGAAAAGAUUCAACCGAUUUGUCUGUAUUUUCAAGAAUUUAUUCUGACUGAUAUUUUAGGUUUUAUUCAUGAUGAAAUGCAUGUCAUGCUGUGCGUAUCGUGCAAAUUAAAAAUGGAAUCAGAUUUACGAAAAUUUAAAUAUGGUCGGACAAAAUUGGGGUAUGACAAUGGUGGUGGAGAAUAUGUGUCGAAAUAUUUCGAUGCAUUACGUGUGAAAGAAGGGAUUGUGCAUGAGGUUGUGCCACCAUACACUCAACAGCAAAAUGGAGUCACAUAAAGGAAUAAUAGAACCAUUAUGAAUAUGGUUAGAAGUAUGUUGAAAGGCAAGUAUCUACCCAAAGAGUUAUGGGGAGAAGCUGUGUCGACAUCGACAUAUAUCCUGAACAGAUGUCCAACGAAAAAGCCUAGCUUGAGUCAUCUGUGGGUGUUUGGAUCUAUAGCACAUAGACAUGUGCCAGAUCAGUUAAGAAGAAAACUUGAUAACAAGUCGAGUCAGAUGAUCCUCAUAGGAUAUCAUUCAAUUGGAGGAUACAAGUUAUUCGACCCAAUGAAUAAGCAAGUAGUGAUCAGUAUGGACGUGAUCAUAAAUGAGCUUAAGGAGUGGGAUUGGAUUGAGAAUGUCAAGAGAGAUUCAGUGAGAAUCUUUUAUGAUGAACCAGCUAGUGAAGUCGAAAAAAAAGUUCGACAGGAAGAAGUCAGAGGUGAAGCAGGCCCAAGCAGAUAUCAAAGAACAAGACACAUGGCUACAAGGUUGCAAGAAUGUAUGAUUACAUCAGAUGAUAUGGUUAAUGAAGAAUGUGAGCUGGUAUAUUAUUCUUUCUACGCAGAUGUUGAACCCGUCAAUGCAGCUAAGGCAUUGAAAGAUUCGAAGUGGAUGAAAGCAAUGGACGAAGAGCUGAAGUCAAUCAAAGUCAAUAACACAUGGUCACUUAUCGAAUUGCCCCAAAACAAGAAGGCAAUCGAUGUGAAGUGGGUAUACAAGGUGAAGCGAAUCCCAAAGGAAAGGUGACUCGACACAAGGCGAGACUUGUGGCAAAAGGAUUUCUUCAGAAAGAAGGAAUCGACUUCGAUGAAGUUUUUGCACCUGUUGCUAGGAUCGAAACAAUCAGGUUGGUUGUUGGUCUAUCAAAGAUGAACAACUGGCAAAUGUGUCAGAUGGAUGUGAAAUGUGCAUUCCUUAAUGGCCCCUUAGAAGAAUAAGUUUAUCUUGCACAACCAACUGAGUUUGUGAAACAAGGCGAAGAAAGAAAGGUGUACAGGUUGCAUAAAGCCCUGUACGGACUUAAACAAGCUCCAAGAGUUUGGAACAAGAAGAUAUAUGGCUUUAUAAGGGAGAAUGAAUUUAUGAAGUGCACAAGUGAACAUGGUGUAUAUGUAAGAAGAAGCAAGAGUGAAUUUCUUAUACUAUGUCUCUAUGUCGAUGGCCUGUUGAUAACAGGUAGUUGCAAGAAGGAGAUCGAAGACUUUAAAAGUGAUCUCAACAAGGAAUUUGAAAUGUCAGAUCUGGGUGACAUUUCAUAUUUCCUUGGCAUUGAAUUCUACAAGAGUGGUAAAGGUUUGAUGAUGCAUCAAAGAAGGUAUGCAAACGAAAUACUCAAGAGAUUUGAUAUGCAAGAUUGCAACCCAACUUUGACUCCAGCUGAACCCAUAUUACAACUGUCGAAAUAUUCAGAUGAAGAUGAUGUCGACCCAACCCAAUAUAGAAGACUUAUUGGGUCACUUCGAUACCUUUGUCAUACAAGGCCUGACUUAGCAUACAAUGUAGGUAUGGUGAGUAGGUGUCGCAUUACGCGAAAAACCGGCGGGAAAACGAAACAACAGAGCCGCCACCGUGCGUUAUUUAUCCCAAAGGAGGGAAAGGAAACGCUCGAAGUAAACCUGGGAAAGACAUGGUCUCGCGACCGGAAUCCGGUCGCGAGACCAUGUCUUUCCCAGGUUUACUUCGAGCGUUUCCUUUCCCUCCUUUGGGAUAAAUAACGCACGGUGGCGGCUCUGUUGUUUCGUUUUCCCGCCGGUUUUUCGCGUAAUGCGACAGCUGGCGACUUUGCUGGGGAUAGAAUAGCCUUUAAACCUGCUACCCUACUGCUGGGGAAUAACAAUUCUAAUAGCUUUCAGACUUGCUUGGGGAACAACCAUUCUCAAGCCUGCUGGGGAGACAUCCUCAACCAUUAGGAACAAUUUACCCACCGACACCUCUACUAGGGAUAUGGCAACCUUCAGGCUCGUUGGGGAGACACCGAUCUCGAAUCUGCUGUGGAGAUAACACUCCCAAAUCCACUGGGGAGAUACGACUUAUUUGACAUGGAACGCCCAUCGAUUCGUCGAACACCGGCAUUCAUUAUCUAACCACAGUGUCAACUUUCCACUCUUGAGAGACUCCCAGACUCAUCCGGUCUUUUCGGAUCCAUCACCCAGUAUUCUCGUCUCUUCCUUGCUUUGAGACGAAUGAUCUCCUCAGAUCCGGGCAAACUCUCCAAUCUUCAUACUUUGAAGAGUCUUCUUGAUUACCCUCUAGGAUCGUCAUCGCAAUUCUUUCAUCUCUUCACUGUUCUUCUAUCCCUUGCCCCUGAUUGGGCUCUGCAAGGAUCUUCUGUCAAAGUGUUACCCAUCACAAACUGCAAGUGGGUGGAUAUAUCUAACAGCACCUGCACAAGAGAUCGUUAUAUAAAAGCAUGCCCCAGGCGUGCCAACAUUUCAACACCUAGGUCACUCAAACUUCCGAAUAAGAUUUCCAGAUUUCAAUCUUAUAAGAAUGCAUCGGAAGGGACCUCUAUGUUUCAAAAUGCAAAUAUUCUUAUAAAAAAUAAACGGAUGUUUUCGCAAUCAAAGCGGUAAUGAAGACAAAAACAAAAUUAUUUGACUGAACAUGCAUUUAUUGACUGAAAAAGGUGGCUCAAAACCGAGCAACACACAGGAAGCAAUCCCUGGAAAGAGGUGAUCGCGCACAAAGGAAAAAUCUAUCCAAUGGCAAUGUGAAACUGUGAUCCAUCUCAUCGGUUUCAACUCGGUUACACCCCAUAUGUCCUCAAGACUUUCCGCACUUUCUGUCUUCUGAACAAGACGCUUUACUCGAUCGAUCGUUAACCAAAAUAUCAACGAUUAUGCUGGACGCAGUUGUUCGUUUCAAUCCCUCUUUUGCCUGGACCGCCCUUUCGGGUUUUCAGUCCACCGGGAUACCCUUUUUUGCCCAAGCCGCCCUUGUGGAGUUUUCGACUUGCCGGGUGUACAGUUUUUCCUUUUAUCCCUAAUUUUUUCCCGAACCUUUUCCUUUUCUUUUGGUUCGCCUGGAUGCCCAUUUUUGCCUGGACUCUUUUAUUCUUUUCAUCCAGCGGGUCUCUUUUACGAAGUAUCUUUUAACUGCGUUCGCAUUCACAGGGGAUGGAAAAUCCUCACCAUCCAUGGUCGUCAACAACAAGGCUCCACCAGAGAACGCCUUCUUGACCACGAAUGAGAUCCAUAACUGUAUGUCCACUUGCCCCUACGAUCGUCUUGAGGAGGAAAGAUCCUUUUCAACAACACGUCUCCCACAUGAUACGCACGAAGUUGCACUUUUCAGCCACAAGCACGUUUCAUUCACUGGGUACAACUGCUCAUGACAAAUAACUGCCAGUCCCUUUUUUCAAUCGGGCUCCCUUCAUACCGAGUCCUUAUCCACUCGGCCUUUUCUAAUUUUACGCCCACCAGGACUCUCCAUGAUGGGAUCUAGACCUCAGCAGGUAAUACCGCUUCUAUCCCAUACACGAGCGAGAACGGCGUUGCCCCAGUAGACGUACGCACCGAAGAUCGAUACCCAGGAUACAAGCUUCAUACUCAGCCACCAUUGUUGGUGCAUUCAAAUGUUAUCCGGGCAACAAAAGAAAUGUGGGAUCUUUUCGGCGUAACCAAAACGGCACUAACUCAUCCACAUUAACCUCUCCCCAUCAGACAUCAGAAUCUGUUCGGAUUCAGGGUCAGACCCCUCCUCCGGGAUCGGUUCCUCACAAUCUUUCGAUUUGAGCACCUCGAGAUGUCCUCAUCAGGGAACUCAAACUUCCUUGGUUGAUAAUCCUCAAUGGGUUGCGUGGCGAGGUAAUCAGACAGUACACUCCCCUUGAUUGCCUUCUGAGAGGUGUAUUGAAUAUCGUAUUCAGUCAACAUCAUUUGCCCUCUCGCCACCCGUCCGGUCAAUGCUGACUUCUCAAACGCAUACUUGAUCGGAUCCAUCUUGGACAUCCACAAAGUGGUAUGAACCAGCAUAUACUACAACAUCAUUUGCCCUCUCGCCACCCGUCCGGUCAAUGCUGACUUCUCAAACGCAUACUUGAUCGGAUCCAUCUUGGACAUCCACAAAGUGGUAUGAACCAGCAUAUACUGUCUCAGUCGGCGAGCAACUUAUGCCAAAGUACAAUAAGUUUUCUCGAGCAGUGAAUGUAUUGUUUCACAGUCGGUAAACUCUUUGCUAAGGUAAAUUGCAUGCUCUUUUCGACCAGACUCGUCAUGCCGACCCACUACACACCUCAUAGACCCCUCGAGGGCUGUCAAGUACCAGAUUAAUAGUUGUUCCUUCCACAGGAGGCAUCAGAAUCAGAGGUUCCUGCAACUUAUUCUUUUAUCUUUCAAUGCCCCUUGGCAAUCAUUAUUCUACCUGACCUUUUGAUCUCUCUUUUUUCUUGAAUGGGUUCCCACGUGGCUAUUAGAUGAGAUAUGAACCAUGAAAUGCAAUUCAAUCUAUCUAAGAAACCACGAACCUUCUUUUGUUUUCGGUUCAGGCAUUUCUUGUAUUGCUUUUUUCUUUGUCUUUUUUUUAGCAGGACAACACUCCACCAGUGCACUGAUUCGGACUCAACCUCAGUCUGAGCUGUCUCAAACGGUCGAACGACUUGCCCCGGCCUACCGGAUGCCCCAUCUUCUGCUUGGGGCUUUGCUAUCAUGUCAUGAUCAUAGCAUUCGAUUCCACGAUGAAUCAUAUCAUGAAACAAAGUCACCAUAGACCUUUGAUACGUGGCACCGGCCUUCUUGAGACUGAAUGGCAUCACCUUAUAACAAGAAGGUGCUCUCUGAUGUGAUGAACAAUGUUUACUCCAUAUCAUCUGGCAAUAAAUCAAUUUGAUUUCGGCCAAAAAAACCAUCCAUGAAGGAAAACACCGAGAACUGAGCAGUAUUAUCAUCCAACAUAUCAAUGUGAUCAUACUUCAGACUGGCUCUGUUCUCAUCUCGGUAGUCCACACACAUUCUCACCUUCCCAUCCUUUUUCGGCACCGGCUUCUGCUUCACUGGAGGACAGUCUUCUCUUAAUGCUAGCUUGUGCCCCAUAACAUUGGUAUUCCACCCUGGCAUAUCCUGAUACAACCAGGCGAAGAUAUCAACAUGUUCUUUCAGCAGUACUACCAUUCUACUAUUGACACUUGCCUCUGAAGCGGCCCCAACUUUCACUUCCUUUCUGACCUCGGCGGUGCCUGGAAUAACAAUCUUGAAUCGCUCCUCAUCCUGUUAAAUCACCCUCUCCUCUUGUUUCAACAACCUGGCUAAUUUCAGCAGAUCACAAUCUUCUUCGCCCUAUUCUUUGGCAUGAUGGAUCGGAUUGUCGAAGUCAUACAGAGGUGUAACCGAAUUGUUAUCAAUGAGAUCAGGAGGAUAGUCUCUUUUGAGGUCGGAACAAGACGAAUCAAAAGGAAAGAAGAAUGAAAAUAAACAUUGCCAUUUUUAUUUUUAUAUUUUUAACUGCAAAAAUAAAUGAAAGACAGGGAACACCGCCUUUAAUCACAAAAACAUCCAUUUAUUAAUGAUGCAAAAUGUUGCACAAUGAAACACAUGAGAUGGCCCUUACAAUGGACCAUUACGUUUCAGGCAAAACGUAUGGCUUUCAUGCAAACAGAAUUGAAAAACAGAAAUACUACUCUUCAUGAUGAGUGACAGUGAUUAUCUUUGAGGCCUUCCAGUUCCCUGGUACGCACGAUUUUAUCCACAACUCAAGCUCGCGGUCACUGUCAAUCUCUUCACCCACUGUACAGGCGUGACCUGGAUCCAGCAUUCCGGCACUGACAAAUGUGAACGGUUGACAACGUCCUCUAUUUUGUCUAGACGACUCUUGAUCUGGCUGAUAGCCAACCCCGAACAUAUCCGCUUUCACCACAAUGUCUAUGAUCUUCCCCCAGCCUAGGGCUUCUCCGUUCUUCACCACUUCCAUGGCCCUGUUUUGUAAGAAGAAAUGGACAGCUUCUUCUCUUUAUGCAAGCACAGAUGGCCCUCUCCACCUUGACGGUUUCAACUGCCUGACUUGGUGUUUCAAAUUUUUCACCGUCCAUUUCUACUUCCAUCAUCCUCUGAAUCGUUUCCCCCAUCACUACACACCCGUUUGUGGCGACAGCCGCACAACAGUUAUCAACACUAGGGAAUGCUCCACUCUUCAUCAGAUGUUUUAGGACCACAGACUUUGGAAUUUUUAACUGAUCCCCAUUAGUCACCUCUAUUCCUCUCUUGUCCCUUGACAUCACUUUCACCUCUACAGGACCUGGCACGGGGUUGGCGUUAACAUUCAGUAUCUGUGCCAAACUGAUAGCCUUAGAAUCCACCAUAUCUUGGACGACAUGCUUAAAGGCUCUACAACCCUCAAUGUUAUGUCUUGGUGCCCCAGAAUGGAACUCGCACUUGGCAUUCUCAUCGUAGUUUGCAGGCCUCUGAUGCAGUUCUACAGGAACCAAUAUCCUUGGCCGAACUAACCCAAGAUCCCUCAAACUCUUGAGCAGAAGGGUAUAAGUCACGGGUGGCUUAUCAAACUGACGAUCCGUCGCCCCCUUCUUCACUUCGCCCUUAGCUUUCGGUGCCUUUUGUUGAGGUAGCGGUUGUUGCUGUUGUACAGGUGGAUUACCAAUAGGAGUGAUUAGAGUGGCAGCAUAAGGGUGGUAACGAUCCUUACCGCGUUCUUUCUUGGCCUGCACACCACCUGAUUCAACUUCCUUCUUGAGUUGACCACUGUCAGAGGACUUCUUUACUACGGACGACGGAGCCUUUCCCUGAACUUUCUCCUUUAUCAUCCAGCUUUCAAUCCUAUCCAACCUCUCAGUAAUUGCUUUCUGCCCCAAGGCGAGCCCUUGCACGACUUUGAACAACUCCCUCAUCAUCUCUUUCAAUUCGAGAAUGUCGGUGUUAGACGGAUCCAUCAGUCUGAGUUUGUUGAGUUUGGCAGGAUGUCUGAACGGAAGAGCUAUGCGCACUGGUUAGAUACUGACACCUACAAAACAACAAACAAGUUAAUAUGACUCACACGUGCAAUGUCUAUCCGUACUAGGAAUAUUCUGUCCUUCUGAUUCUGGCUUCCUCGAGACGGAUAAUAUUUUAACAAUAACAUUCUGUCAUCAGGAUGUCUCUCAACCAGAAUCUCAAUCAAAAAUGGACCCUGAGUACGGAUAGACAUGGGUUAAAUGCAGAUGGAUGCGAAAUGGGAAUGAUGCAAAUGCAUGCAGGCAGGUCACUGUGCCAUCUUCCAAGUCAACUGAGGAUCAACUGUACUGGACCGGUCUCUGAACUGAUUACAAUCAUCUGAGGGCCCGAGUAACCAUAAAUCCAACUUGGGGAGUUCCGAAAUAAAUAGAACCAGGGGAUAUACCACUAUUAUCACAAGAAAUCCACUGAACGAAUGACAACCAGAUCCUCUGAACAAUUAUCCUCAAAUUCAACCCGGGAAUCCGAAAUAAACGGAACCCGCUGAUAAAUAUCACGGACAGAAUUCCGGCAUCUCAGAGAUAGAUAUCCAUAAGUCCAUCUGAACCAUAAUCACCAUCAGUACCUGCAAAUGAUUCAAUCCCUCCCCACUCACGGGUGUCAUCUAGGCCAAGGUAAGGUCAAGAGAAACGCAGGAUAAAUAACCCUUUCAAAGAUAUCAUCAUGUACAAACCAGAUGUAUGCACCGAUAAUACCCCAUCAGAGUCUGAACUGAAGGAGAAUUGCGGUCCAAAACGCAGCGGAAAUUAAAAUUUCUCCUUUAGAGAUCCUUACGAAUGGUCAUGAUCAGUGAUAGAAUGUUUACCUCUUGUGAUGAUCGAAACCUUUGGUGCAGAUCUCUGUCGAUCAAAACCUUUGAUGCAGAUCCACGAAGCGAUCACGAACGUUGAACGAUGACAACGUCUCUACUCAGUCCACACGAACGGGUUCCUUCAAUCUUAGUGCUAGUUGGUACGAAUGAAGGCUUGAGCGAGAGAGAGAGAGAGAGUGAGAGAAACGAAAAUAAUGCAACCGCUAUUAAUGCUUCUGCACAAGGUUCUAUUUAUAGAACCACUUGUGUGGGUUCAAGCUAAAAAGCCCACUUAAGUGUAUUUUGGCCCAUAUCUUACAAUAUGCCCAAAAUCACUUAAGCCCAUGGUACCUUACUAUUUCGUAUAUCUACUCAAGUACACCGUACUUACGAUGUUCUAUAACUCAUUUAAGGGCACCGUACCUUACGGUAUUCCUUAGUACUCUAUCUCUCAUCAAUCCGUCCUUUGUGUGUGACCCUGUAGGUUUUCGUGACGUUGCAAUUAUAUUAAAUCACGCAUUAACAUAAUAAACAGUGAGCGGUAUCUAGCAACACAUCACUGCUACCCAAGACACGAAAAUGUCAUGUGAUCUGACAAAACCUUUUGUGAUAAUACUUAUGUGUAUAAUUACCUUUUGCCCUUAUGUCUAUAUUGAACACAAGGCAUAGACGUGUCAUCCUUGUCUAGUUCAAUAUUGGGCCCAUGACAUUUAUCCUGUUAUGCAGGAUGGGCAAAUUCCAUCUAGGGUCACUCAUGUCCCUCAGCAUGCUUCGUGGAGUACCCAUCAACUGUCUUUAUGGUUAUCCAGUUACGGACAACGUUGGAUCAGCAAUAAAGCACUUAACUCUACAUCUAGGAUCCAUAGUGGUUUCAGGUCGAAGAGUGGAAUACACUAUUAUCACCAUGAGAAUAACUUAUGACACUAUGCAUAACUUUCUAUAUAGUAUUCUCAUAGCGGGUCAAUCCGGUAUAAAUAUUACUCCUAAUAUUCAUACCUAUGUUUAAGACUUGAAACUCUUUAUCCAUGAUCCAUGAGAUGUGAUCAUCAGUCUACAAACAUAAUAGUCUUAAUGCUUUAAUGUUAUCCCACUUCACACUAAAGCUCGACUACGGAUACUUUAAGAAUAGUGUCCUUAUGUUUAAUGUGUUCUCAGAUUAAGUCACACUUAAUACAUUAACGGACUAUCUAUUCCAGGGACUUUAUUAAUCAACCAUAAUAAAGAAAAUGCCUUUAUUAUUAAUAAAUAAUUCGAUACAAGUACCAAAAAUGUUGGCCUCUAGGGCUUACACCAACAAUCUCCCACUAGCACUAGAGCCAAUCAGGCUACCCGUAUGCCCAUUGAUCUAGUAUGGCCAUCAUGCUUCUGCUGCGCAAGAGGCUUUGUCAGUGGGUCAGCUAUAUUGUCAAGUGUAGGUACUUUACAUAUUUUCACAUCUCCUCUAUCUAUUAUCUCUCGAAUGAGAUGAUAACGCCUGAGAUGUGUUUGGAUUGUUGGUGAGAUCUAGGCUCCUUGCUUGUGCGAUAGCACCAUUGUUAUCAUAAUAGAGACCAAUGGGAUCCACAAUGCUAGGACUAUGCCAAGUUCACUAAUGAACUUUUGAUCCAACAAACUCCCUUUUCUGCAUUUGAGGCAGCAAUAUACUCGGCCUCGAUUGUAGAAUCAGCAACUGUAUCUUUGCUUUGAACUUUUCAAGCUCACAGCGCCACAUUUAAGCAAAACACAUAAUCAUUGGAAUCAUUCAUAUUAAAGCGUCUCAGCACCUUGUCUAUGUACUCUGACUUAGGCAAGCAUUUCAUGAUCUAUCUCUAUAGAUUCUAAUUCCUAAUAUAUAGGCUGCUUCACCUAGGUCGUUCAUAGAAAAGCAUUUCCCAACCAAGACUUUAUUUGUUGCAGGGUAGUGACAUCGUUUCCAAUGAGUAAUAUUCAUCUACAUAAUAUCAGGAAAACGAUCAUGCUCCCACUAACUUCUUGUAGACACAAGGCUCAUCUUCGUUCUUGAUGAAUCCAUAUUGUUUUACUGUUUCACAAAACGAAGAUUCCAUGAGUAGGUCACAGGCUCAUCUUGAUCCAUGAGUAAUACAUCACCUUGAUCAGAUAUCCAUAUAUUCAGGUGGUACGUAUCCUGCGCUGACCGUGGUCUUGCUCUACUUGAGCAGGUUGCUCUUACAAACUACUUGUGUUUCCUGCUCAAUUCUUCCAUAGGUGUGUCGAUGUUUGUGAUUCUUGAAUUUCUUCAAGCUUACUUUCCUCCACUGGUUCCUUUGGAAAUAAAAUUAUUUCUAGGAAAACUCCAGUUCGAGUGACAAACACUUGCCCUCAGAAGGAUUGUAGAAGUAAUACCCUCUUGUUUCUUUAGGAAUACCCCACAAAAAGCAUUUUUCAGAUUUGGCUCAAGCUUAGUUGAAUUUGUCGUUUCACAUAAACCUCCACCCAAAUCUUUAUGUAAGACAUAUGUGUUUCUUACCACAUCCAUAUCUCAUUAUGGUGUCUUCUCACCUUUUGGAUGGACAUGUUAAAGUGUGUAAGUUGUUGUCAAUGUCCCCAAAAGGAGUUUGAAGAUCGGCGUGACUCAUCAUGGAUCAGCACCAUGUCUAACAGUUCGAUUUCUUCUCUCAGAUAACCAUUCCAUUGGGGGUUCCAGGAGGAGUAAGUUGGGAUAGGAUCCACACUCUUUCAGAUGGUCAUCAAACUCUAGCUUAAAUACUCACCACCUCGAUCUGAUCGAAGAGUUUAAUAUUCUUACCUAGUUGGUUUUAACUCGUCAAGUUUCACCUUUUAGUAUUAAUGUUAUUAAUAGGCAUUCGAGAUCAAGGACAUAAAGUCCAUUGCUCAUUUGUGCAGUAGCAUAGAAUAUAUCAUUCAAAUAAAUUGAGCACAAUUGUUUUAUUAUAAAUGAAAAACCAAACUUGUCCAGACAAGAAAUGGAAAUAAUAUUCUGCUAAUUGCAGGUACAUAAUAACAGUUCUCUAACUGAAUUAUAAAACCACUAGGUAAAGUCAAAUACAUAGAUCCUCUACGGCUAAAGUAGCAACCUUUGCUCCAUUGUCAACUCGUAAGUCACUUCACCUUUGCCAAAUCUCUACUCCCUUUCAGCCCCUGCACAUUGUACAAUGUGAGAACUGCAUCCAGUAUCUAAUACCCAUGAUGCAGAAGUAGAUAAAUUAUAACAAAAAAUACCUUAAGUUGAAGUCUCUACUCCAUUCUUCUUAUCUCCAGGUAUUUGGGCAGGUUCCUUUCCAGUGUCCUGUCUUACCGCAAUGUAAGCAGUGCCUUCUUUUGCUAUGCCUCCACUAGGCUUCAAAGCCAGUAGUGUGUCUGGGAUUGGCAACUUUCUUGCCCUUCCUUAUCACUCUGCUUAGUGGGCUUUUGUUCUGUCUCUUCCAUUUCUGAUCAUCAGAAUGGAUUCCUUUUGACUUCACGAUUCUGCUCGGCAGUCUUAACAUGGCGAGCAGUUCAGGAGAGAUUUAUCCAUAUCAAUACAUAUUGAAAUUUAGGACAAAUUGACUGAAAGCUAUCUGGCAACGAUUGCAAGAUCAAUCAGUUGUAAGUUCCUUUUCGAGGGGAAAACCAUAUCUCAAGGUUUUCCACAUACCCAUCAUCUGAGUACACUGGGGACCUACAGGGCUCCCUCAGCUAACUUGCUUUUGAAAAGGGCUUUUUGAAUUCAACCCUCUCAUGCCUUGCUUACUCUUGGAUAGAGCAUCUUCAGGUGUUCGAUCAUAUCGAACGCUGACAUGUUCUCCUGUUGCUUUUGUCAAUUUCUGAGUUCAUGGUUAGCCAGUCAUGAGACAAGCAGUUCAUUGCAUCAUCGACAUGCUUCUUAUAAGCAUCUCUUCUGCUUAGUGCAGAACUAGGAGUUCCUCUUCAGAACAGUGUCUCCAAGAUUACAGCUUUUAUCAUGUUUGAGGACAAACUCAGUUUCGUGCCAAUCCAGAAAAUUUGUCCCAGACAAUUUUUCCUUGCGAAGGAUUGAUCGCAAGAUGUUGUUAGAGUGGUUUGCUGUCACGGUUUACUACAAAGGAUUAAGAAAAUAUAAGUAUCAUUGACAUAUUUAAUUAGCCUUAAUCAAUAUUGCCUCCACUAUUUUACUCAAACAAUGACCCUCAUCAUUUGAUUCGGAAUCCGUUGGAAGAUUUUCUAGUGGGUCGAGAUCAUAUUUCACUUCGUUCUAAGUCGCGUAGGCGGAUACACAAAACUAGGUUAUUUAGGUAGAACUCCUUCCAAUUGUAUCUCAUACAACUCUCGAAAAUUUAGUUGGGUGAAUAACUCCUAUUCGAAUCCAUCAUAUGAUCUUCCCACUCUUUGCUUCUAAAAUAUAUGAUAUUAUUAUAAUUAAGUUUGACCAUUGUCUUAGCAGUUGGAUAUUACAAUUAUCCCACUGCACCUUACUAAUAUAGAACAUGCACCUCGCUUGGUGAAACCUACAUUAUCCAUACUAGUUCUUGAUGAGUGCUAAACUUGGAAAGCAAAACAUAUAAAUAUCAUCAUAAUUGUUUAGUUAAGUUUGACCAUUGUUUUAACAUUGGAUAUAUACAAUUAUCCAUCGCACCUUACUAAUAUAGAACAUGCACCUCGCUUUGGCGAAACCUACAUAUCCGAUAUAGUCUUGAUGAGUGCUUAAAACUUGGAAAGCAUAAACUAAUAUUUAGUUUGAGGAAUUGCAAUAUUGUUAUGAUCUCACCGCUUAUUUAUCAUAUAAAUCGUCUCUCACAUGCAUCAACUACAUUCACAUGCAUCAACAUAACAUACACAAUGAACAGUUAUGCCCUAGCGCAAUUGUUUCCCAAGCAUGAGAGAACCUAAGCUAACCUAAUAACGAUCUAGCUUCUCCAAGCAAGAUCUUCAAGGUUGUCCUCCUUAGAUUGAAUUCUUCUCUAAGCUUCUCCAAGCAGAUCUCAGGUUGUCCUCCUUUGAUCUUGAAUUCUUCUCUUUCUUCAUAACAUUGUUUCUUCUCUUUCCACAGUAUUACAUUCCAGAGAAACUCGUUUUACAUACGAGGGUUUGAGAUGAGAAAAGAAGUUACAUAAGAAUCAAAAGGAGAGGCACGACACGCAGGUCGUAUUUAAAAAACCCAAAACAAAAUAAAGGAUAACUAAGGCCAUAACUGAUCACCACAAGACAAUAAUAACAAACACAUUAUUAUUAUUAUUAAUUUUUAAUUUCUUUAAUUAAUUAAAACCAAAUCAAAUUUCGGCGACCGAUCACACUACGCAGAGUUAGCCGGGGGUUCCGCUGUCCAAAAUUUUAAUGAACAAUUCAUUUGAAAUGGACAUUGUUUUUGCAUCAACACAACUCUUGCGUAGGCACAAAAAUAGAAACCCCAAAAUUUUGACUCUGUGAGUGUGAUGACCGUCACAGGCCAUGUGAGUGUGACGACCAUCACACAAAACACGUUACGACCGUCACAGGGCCAAAAACAGAAACGCCUAGUUUUCUAGACUUGUGAAUGUGACGACCGUCACAAAGCACGUGACGACCGUCACGCCCAUCAUGUUACGACCGUCAUGGGUCUGUUACGAACGUCACGCGUCUUGUUACGACCGUUACGCAUCCAAAAUAACAGAACUUUGAAACAGUCUACCGACCUGUUCCAAAACCCUAAAUUCACAACUCCUUGACGGCACAACCCUUGCGCCGUCACCAACCCUAAUGCGCCAAUUUCAGACCGUCAAACACACCUCGAUUAUUGAUUCAGUAUGAUUGAUCAACAGGUCAUUGCUUCACCAUACUAAUGUCGGAUUCCGAAGCAAAUGACCAUUGAUCGCUCAAAGGAAAACAAUCAUUUAGUGUUCGAAUGAACGAAACAGAAACAGUAUAUCACAUAUACCGUACUUUGCAUUAGGAUUACUUAUAUCAUAUAUAAGUUGAUCGGUCUCAAUUGCGUAACCUAUGGACGAUCGAUGUAUCGCUGCUUCACCAUACUAAUGUCGGAUUCCGAAGCAUAGUCAACAUCAAUCAUCCAACUCGUACACUCAUGAUGCCAAAUUUAAUUACUCGUUUAAUUAAUUGAUUCAUUCUGUCUUUUAAUCAUAUUAAUACAGAAAAUAAACAGCUAUCCGAGUCAUGGUUUCGUAAGUGGCUCUGAUACCACUGAAGGAGAAUUGCGGUCCAAAACGCAGCGGAAAUUAAAAUUUCUCCUUUAGAGAUCCUUACGAAUGGUCAUGAUCAGUGAUAGAAUAUUUACCUCUUGUGAUGAUCGAAACCUUUGGUGCAGAUCUCUUGUGACGAUCAAAACCUUUGAUGCAGAUCCACGAAGCGAUCACGAACGUUGAACGAUGACAACGUCUCUACUCAGUCCACACGAACGGGUUCCUUCAAUCUCAGUGCUAGCUGGUACGAAUGAAGGCUUUGAGUGAGAGAGAGAGAGAGAGAAAAAGAGAGAGAGAGAGAGAGAGAGAGAGAGAGAGAGAGAGAAAACGAAAAUAAUGCAACCGCUAUUAAUGCUUCUGCACAAGGGUUCUAUUUAUAGAACCACUUGUGUGGGCUUCAAGCUAAAAGGCCCACUUAAGUGUAUUUUGGCCCAUAUCUUAUAAUAUGCCCAAAAUCACUUAAGCCCAUGGUACCUUACCAUAUUUCGUAUUCUACUCAAGUACACCGUACCUUACGAUGUUCUAUAAUUCACUUAAGGGCACCGUACCUUACGGUAUUCCUUAGUUACUCUAUCUCUCAUCAAUCCGUCCUUUGUGUGUGACCCUGUAGGUUUUCGUGACGUUGGCAAUUAUAUUAAAUCACGCAUUUAACAUAAUAAACAGUGAGCGGUAUCUAGCAACACAUCACUGCUACCCAAGACACGAAAAUGUCAUGUGAUCUGACAAAUCCUUCUGUGAUAAUACUUAUGUGUAUAAUUACCCUUUUGCCCUUAUGUCUAUAUUGAACACAAGGCAUAGACCGUGUCAUCCUUGUCCAGUUCAAUAUUGGGCCCAUAGACAUUUAUCCUGUUAUGCAGGAUGGGCAAAUUCCAUCUAGGUCACUCAUGUCCCUCAGCAUGCUUCGUGGAGUACCCAUCAACUGUCUUUAUGGUUAUCCAGUUACGGACAACGUUGGAUCAGCAAUAAAGCACUCGACUCUACAUCUAGGAUCCAUAGUGGUUUCAGGUCGAAGAGUGGAAUACACUAUUAUCACCAUGAGAAUAACUUAUGACACUUUGCAUAACUUUCUAUAUAGUAUUCUCAUAGCGGGUCAAUCCGGUAUAAAUAUUACUCCUAAUAUUCAUACCUAUGUUUAAGACUUGAUAACUCUUUAUCCAUGAUCCAUGAGAUGUGAUCAUCAGUCUACAAACAUAAUAGUCUUAAUGCUUUAAUGUUAUCCCACUUCACACUAAAGCUCGACUACGGAUACUUUAAGAAUAGUGUCCUUAUGUUUAAUGUGUUCUCAUGAUUAAGUCACACUUAAUACAUUAAACGGACUAUUUAUUCCAAGGACUUUAUUAAUCAACCAUAAUAAAGAAAAUGUCUUUUAUUAUUAAUAAAUAAUUCGAUACAAGUACCAAAAAUGUUGGCCUCUAGGGCUUACACCAACAUGAACUGCUCGUGAUAUCAUGUUCCGCUAAGUGGCGCUAUACCACCCGCUUCCCAUGGAUCACUCUAUUCCUAGGUAUCCUAGAGUUCAAUCAUAGCCUGGGUAUUGGGCCUUUUACCUCUUGUAACUCCCACUCCACAAAGAGACAGACACACAGCCAGCACAAUAAUAAUAUGAUGCAUGCAAACACAUAAUGCACAUAUAUACAAUCACAUCAUAAUCAUAAAUGCAAUAAAUAAAACAGUAAAAGCAACCAACAACUAUCCUAAAGAACGCUAGGAUUGACUCGCUUAGGGAAGAUGGACCAGCAAGAGGUCAACUUCUCGGAUAAUCCCCAGCAGAGUCGCCAGCUGUCGCAUUACACGAAAAACCGGCGGGAAAACGAAACAACAGAGCCGCCACCGUGCGUUAUUUAUCCCAAAGGAGGGAAAGGAAACGCUCGAAGUAAACCUGGGAAAGACAUGGUCUCGCGACCGGAGAGAGAUGGGAUUGGGAGUCGGUUAUGCGUAGGUUCAUGCAGAAGCCAAAGGUAUCACAUCUAGCAGCGGCGAAGAGGAUACUAAGGCAUCUGAAAGAAACUCUCGACUAUGGAAUUUUGUUUCCUGCAGCUGAUGAAGGAAAAAAAUGCAAAUUAGUGGGAUACACCGACUCAAGUUGGUGUAGUGAUGCUGAGGAUCGAAAAUCCACAGCUGGCUAUGUGUUUAUGCUAGGUGGUGCACCAGUUGCUUGAAGUUCGAGAAAGGAACCAGUAGUGGCAUUAUCGUCGUGCGAAGCAGAAUACAUAGUUGCUUCUCUUUGUGCAUGUCAAGAAACGUGGAUGGUGAAUCUGGUCGAAGAAAUAACAACGAAGAGUCAUGGAGCAAUUACCAUGAAGAUCGACAACAUGUCAGCUAUCAAUCUGGUGAAGAAUCCGAUAACACAUGGUUUAAGCAAGCACAUCGAGAUGAGGUUCCAUUAUCUUCGAGAGCAGGUAGCAGAUGAGAAAAUGAAUGUGGAACACUGCAGAAUUGAGAAUCAGAUUGCAGACAUCAUGACAAAGGGAGUGCAGGUCGAAGUGUUCAGAAUACUAAGAGCUAUGAUGAGUGUAGACAGCUUAAACACAAUGAAUUAGGUGGUGAUUGAAUUAUAAUUUUUUGUGUCGAUACAAUUUGCUCGAUAGAAUAAGGAAGUGUCAAACUACCUAGUAUGUUGAGUUAUGUUAGUGUGUCGAAGCAUGUUGCUUCACACAGGAUUUAGAUUUAGGCCUAUUUUAGUAGUGUUGGCUUUUAUAGUUUUGGACUUUGGCUUGAGGUCCAAGUUAACCUAAACCUAUAAAUAGAGGGAGUAACCCUUAUUUUUGUAAUGAAGUGAAUAGAGUAUUCAUAACACUUGUAAUUCAUAGUAUUUUGCAGUUGCAAAGUGAAUAAAAAGUUUUUCAUAGUUUGUGGGCAGAGAGAAACUCUGCAGAAUUCAAUUCUUCUUCUCCUUCAUCGUUCUUUACACUCUUUCUUUCUCCAUUGUUCUUUUCUUUUCAUUGUUAUUAUGUGGGUGAUAACAAUCUUGUUCAUCAAGAUUGGUUGAAAUUCUCCAUAGGUUUUGGUGGAUUUCCAACAGAAAUUGGUUUACCUAAGAUAAAAAUUUCAAAAGAAAAUAUAUAUGAUGCAUGUGAAAUGAGAAAGAAAACAAGAAUGUCUUUCAACCGAGGGACUCACCCUUAAUUGAGAGACUCACUCCUAAUUGAGGGAUUCAUCCUUAAUUGAGGGACUCACCCCUAAUUGAGGGACUCACCUCUAACUAGGAGACUCGUCCCUGACUAAGGGACUUGACCUCAACUAAGGGACUCACCCCUAACUACGAAACUCACUAAAGGAAAUAAAUGGCUUAAAACUAUGAGGAGAACAUGCUUAAUCACUUUUCCCCUUACAACUCAUAAUGUUUGAGGGACUGUGUAGUAAUAUAUUUGUAAAGGCCCAUAAUAGAGCGAUAUGGGGCCAAACCUCAUCAGGCACUGCCCUAGAAUCUACCGCCUAGACAUAACUCCCACUUAGUAGGUGGCCUCAACUAAUAAGAAACACGGGGGAUGACGUGUACAUAGUCUAUAACCACAUGUGCAAUAAGCUAUGCUCAUAAUUCCCUAGGAAGUAGGCAGUCAACAGUUUCCUUAUUCAAGGUGGAGCAGUUACUACUUCUUAGGAGCCCCAAAAUCUAUGCCCAUAAGCCUCUAUAAAUAUCUCACCAUAAGGGUUAAGGAGAUAUUCUGAAUUCACCAUGAAAUACCCUCGUGAGCUUGCUCUCACAUCACAUAAAACACCGCUAAACAUGACCUCUCACCACUGCAAAUUAUAAAGCCUCUGGACAUCCCUACCAGUAUAGGGGUGCAAUGCAUUUGUACUUUUUUUAGCAAGUACGAAGAAGUCAAAAUAAGUAAAUUGAGAAGUUAGAUCAUUUAUCUUGUUUUCUUUAUAAUUUUCCAUGAGACAUAUGUUGACUUCUUCCUCUUUUUCAAAUUCAUCGGAGGAGUCCGUAUCAUUAUCAUUCCAUGUUAUUUAUGUCUUCUUUGUUUCUUUUUGAGGACUUUAUGUCUUUUAGUUUGUUUCUUAUUUUGAGGGCAAUUUGGCUUUAUGUGACAUUUAUUUCUGCACUAGAAGCAUGUUAGCACAAAGGAUGAUCUUUCUUUAUUUUUAUGUUGGAAACUUUGAGGUUGAUUUUUGUGCCAUAUGAACUUUUUGAAGUUGUAAACUAAGAGUUCAUGUCUUCAUCACUUUAUGUUUCUUUGGUCUCUUCAACUUUGAGUGCACACUUUUUCUUUUUAUGAUCACCUUCUUCAUUUUCAAUAACCCUUUUUAGUUCAACCUCAUGUUCAUGCAAUUUGUCAAACAAAGCAGUCAAAUCCAUAUAAGACAAUUCUUUAGAUUCAAUUGUGAUUUAGGUAUCUAAGGACUUUAUUAAUUAAAUUCUCAUUUGAAAAGUCUUAUCCAUAGUUCAUAAAUGAUUAACAAUGUGAAUAAACCAUAUUUCUAUAUCUUGAAUGUUUUCUUCAAGUUUUAUUCUAAACAAUUCAUACUAAUGGUAUAAUGUGUUCAUCCUAACCCUUUUUUACCUCGGUGAUACCUUCAUAAGUAACUUAAAGGGUGUCCCACAUUUCUUUAAAUCCUGGACUUUUUUAUAUCGGAUGACCAAGUAACUUAAAGCACAAGAGGGGAUGAUUUGUGAUAAAACGAUUUUCAAAACUUUUAAGAAAACAAUUGAUUUUUAAGAAAAAGGAUGAAAAUAAGAUUAAACACGAAAGAGUAAAUAAUUAAAAAUUAAAGAAAUAAGGAAAAAGGAAAUAACACACUAGAAUUUAUACUUACCUUAAAUCACAUGAUGUACUUCGAUCCCAAAAGAUUUUCCUUGAGAGUUCCACUAACAACUUAAAUUUUUAUCACAUACCUUAUACACUAAUCGUUUAUCCGGGUUUAACUUGCAACCUUUAUAAUAUAUCAGACUCACAUCAGAAUAACAUUCUUGAUUUACAAUUAGAACUCAAUCAAAUUUAAACAACAUUUACACAAGCACACUUUUUGCUAAUGAUUUCACUCUCUCAUCACUAACGUAUGCUAAUGGUUUCACUCUCCUAGCACCAAAGUAAUUCUAAGUGUAUGAGAAAUUUUCAAGAAAAUAGUGAAUAAUAAAGAAUAGUAAUAUUUCAGAUUUCUUUUAUGCUUUAAAGGGAAAACAAGUUCUAGUAUUUUUUCAUCUAAGACAUGAAUUUUUUUUAGAUUGGAUCUGCUUCAUAAUCGAUUAGACUGUCACUCUAAUUGAUUGUGACCUAGAAAAUUAGGAAAGAAUUUGCGAGAUUCAAAAUUUAUUGGAUUAAAAGACUUCAUUAGAGGACGGGUUUAUUUCAUAAUCAAUUAAAUAAAUUUCAUAAUCAAUUAAAAAGUGAAAAAUUACUUUUUAAUUGAUUAAAUAAACUUCUUAAUCAAUUAGUCUUUCACUAAAACUAUUUUAAUUUUUUUUUUUGAAAAUAGAUGAAGUAUUUAGGAACUUCUAUUUGUUUUUAUAUUAAUAAUGUGUAAUUUGUUAUUAAGUAUUGGAUUUUCACUUAUGUUUAAAAAUAAUUAAAUAUUUAUACUUCAAAAACAUAUUUAAUAUUUAUAACAAAAAGGGUUUUAAUUAAAAUAUUUUUGUAUAAUUAUAAUUUUUUUAAAUAUAUCAUUAGAAGUUUGAGUUACUUUAAUAUUAUAUUUAAUAUUUUAAUUUUUUUAUUAGUUUAAUGAUGAGAUAACUGAAAUUUCUCUCAAAUAUGCAUCAUUCAGUCAAAUAUUAUAUAUCAAAUAAACUCCAUUAACAUAAAUAUCUACUUUUAAUAUAUAAAAGUUAAUUACCACCAUAAUUACUUAAUUACUCUAAUUACAAUACAUAAUACAACUACUUUCAUGUUCCUAUAAGUAAUUUCGUACUAAACUCUAUUUAUACUACUAAAAAAUAUUACCGUUAUUUUAUUGUUAUUGCAAUCUUAUCAUUCCAAAAUGAAAUCAAUAUUCUGAAAUCAAAUUAAUUAUUAUUGUAGUUUUUUUGCCAAAUAUUAUCGUUACUUGAUUUUCUUUAAAUGACAAAAUGAAUAUUUAAUUGUAUAAUUAUAUGUUAUUAAAUUAUAACUUUAAAAUUAAAAAUAACUAUUUAAUAUAGUUGAUUAAUAUUAAUUGAGUAAUUUAAUAUUAUUGUUAAUUUACCUACCAAUUAAUUAUUAUUAUUGUUAUUAUUAUUAUUGAUAUUUACCCGUCAUAUAUGAUAAGAAUAUUUUUAAAAUUUAAAUAGUAUAUUUAUUAUUUGAUUUGAUUUGAUUUAAUUGAGAUCCAAACUCUAUAAAUUAAAAUCGGUUACUUAUUAUGAACAAUAAUAUAGGGUCAUUCCAAUGUCAAUCUAUUAUUAAUUGAAUUUUACAUAGAUGUAAUUUUGCAAUAACACGCUGGCAUAUUGAAUCUUAUACCGCUGUUAUCUUUGCACUAACAUAUUUUAUCCUUUCAACAGAAUAAUUAUAGUAAAUACGUACAUUCUGUAUACCGAAUUAUAAUAAAAAUGUAUUAAAAUCAAAAGCAAUAAAACUGUUUACAGUAAAUAAAAAUAUAGAAUAACAUCUUAAAAUUCUACUCUAUUUGAUUAUUCAUUUACUUAUUAUUUGAUAUAUUUUUAUAUAAUAAAUAAAUUAAUAAUAAGUAAAUGAAUAAUCAAAUAGAGUAGAAUUUUAAGAUGUUAUUCUAUAUUUUUAUUUACUGUAAACAAUUUUAUUGCUUUUGAUUUUAGUACAUUACACUAAAAAAAACUCUUAUGCAAUAAAUUUGUGUACGUUGAUCCAACUAUAUAUAUAUAUAAGCAAAAAAUAUAUUAUAUUUUAAUUUUUUAAAAUAAAUUAUUGCAGUUGCGCGACCCGUGCAAACACACGGAUCCUUUGCUAGUUUACUAAUAUAACCUAUCCUUAACUAUUCAAUAUUAAUCAUCAAAUAUUAUUUAUUCAUUUUAUUGUUGAAAGAUAUAUCUCCAUCAUAUAUUUAACUUAUUUAUAUCCAUUAUCUUUAUAAAUUUCUCAUGAUUUAAUUAAUAAAAAAAAUCUAAUUCACAUACAAAUUUAGUAUAAAGAGUUUUCUAUUUUAUUAGUCAAUCAUAACUCUCACCUCAUUAAAAAUAUUUGAUUUUAAUCACAACCCUAGUAUUAAUGUAUCACAAUCAAGCUAAUUUAUCAAUUUAUAUAUUAUUAUUUAUUUGGCAAAAGUCAAAUAAAAAUAACUUUCAUGUAGAAAGAAAUCAAAUCAAAUUAAUUAUUUUGAUAGAAAAAUUUCAAUAAAAUAAGAUCUAAUCCAAUUUAAUCUCAACCAUAGUGAUUAAUAUAUAAUUAGUUAAUUAUAUAAGCUAACACAAUUGCAUAAUUUGUUUGUUGGUGUGUGUUUCAUUGUGUUCCUUGGGUGUUUUUGUUCUAUCCUCUUCUCUCAAAUCUAUAGAUCCUUCCAAUUGUUUGUUCCACGGUUGCAGUUUUGGGCCAAGAAGAACUAUCUUUGUCUUGUGCUGUGUUCUCUUGUGUUUUCGAGCACUCAGAAGAAAACCCUUUUCGCCAUGAGACCUCAGAAAACUUCGAUCCACGCCAUCUCCACAUGGGUCAGGCGACAACCACCAAAGGUCAAGGCUUUUCUUGCCGUCGUUUCCGGCAUGACCGCUCUUGUUAUCCUCCGAUUCAUCGUUCACGAUCACGAUAAUCUCUUUGUCGCUGCUGAGGCUGUUCACUCCCUCGGAAUCUCCGUUCUUAUCUAUAAACUCAUGAAAGAGAAGACCUGUGCCGGUUUGUAAUUCAAAUUAUUUCUUUUUCGAUUCAAUAUGUAUCUUGAAUCUUUUCAAUUUUUGCAUUCUUGGGUAGGUUAAAAAUUUCCCCUUUUUUGUUCUAUCAAAAGAUCAAUUUUUUGGGAUUUGUUUCGUUAGAUUUUUAUUCCAUUAUUAGAUUUCCUUAAAAGGAAAUUGAAUUUUGGCAUUACUUUUCUACGGUCUCAAUCAGAUUGGCAUUGUUUAGCUAGUUUCAAUUGUGUUUGUGUUUGGCUUAAUUGGAUCAAGAAGAGACAUUAAUUGAAUUUUUGAUUUUGUUGAUAAUGGUUUUGAAUGAUGUACACAGGAUUAUCACUCAAAUCCCAGGAAUUAACAGCUAUAUUUUUAGCUGUUAGGCUGUAUUGUAGUUUUGUCAUGGAAUAUGACAUACACACCGUACUUGAUUUGGCUACUUUCGUCACUACCGUGUGGGUUAUAUACAUGAUUCGUUUUAAGCUAAAGGCUAGUUACAUGGAAGAGAAGGAUAACUUUGCAAUAUAUUAUGUGGUAAGCUCCAAUUGUUUCAUCCUAAAUUUAAAAGCAUUUUUUUUUCAUUUUCUUUUAUGGUAAAUAUGGUUUGAGUAUUCAAUGCUGUAUCUUUAGAUGAUAGAGAUGUACUAUGAAGCAUCUCGCAUAUUUGAUGUGGCAUUGUGUGAAAUGGUUGUAUAUAUUGAGAUUUAUUGUAACUUUUGCAUUUGCCUUCCAUCGGCAUGAUCUUGAUAAUACUUUACUUUUGAAAAUGGAUGCAGGUGUUACCAUGUGCCGUGUUAGCCUUGGUUAUUCAUCCAUCAACUUCUCAUCAUAUAUUGAACAGGAUUUUCUGGGCAUUCUGUGUAUAUCUGGAAGCUGUUUCAGUUCUACCCCAACUUCGGGUCAUGCAGAACACCAAAGUAUAAUUUCUUAACUCUGGGAUAUAUGUCAAUCUUCUAAUGUAUGGGAUCUGAUUCUAUUACUUUCCUUCUGAAUUGUUUUAUUUUGUACUUUCAGAUCGUUGAGCCAUUCACCGCUCAUUAUGUAUUUGCACUGGGUGUAGCAAGAUUCUUGAGCUGUGCUCAUUGGGUUCUCCAGGUCUGUUCAUGAAGUUUCACAAUUUCAUUAGUCAGUCCUUUGAUUCACUUGCAAAUUUAUAACUGCACAAUUCUCUCCUGUUGAUCAAGGAGUGGAAUAUGAACAAAUUUUGAUAAGUUUUAGUUUCUAUUUUAUUUCCAACGGUAUAAGUAUGACUUACAACAUUUUUUAAGGGCAUCUUGUGCUGUAAAGCUCUUGCUAUUUUGUGAGGGUCAAACACCAUGUAGGCUACAACCUUGUAUUGGCAAAUGAUACUGAUUUGACGACCCAAGUCUGUAACCCCUGAGUUACAUGGCAGCAACUCCUAUUGCAAUGUUUGCGUGUUCACAAGUUUACAUCCGAUCAUAUUGAUGGUCACGUGGUUACAAGAAUGCUGCUGUUAUUGCCUUGUUUCUUAUGUUUUUGUACUUGGAUUUUUUAACCAUAUGUCUCCUACUAACUUACUAUUUCUCGUAACAGGUGUUAGAUACCCGUGGACAUUUGUUGGUUGCCUUAGGGUAUGGUUUAUGGCCGUCAAUGGUUCUUAUCUCAGAAAUUGUCCAGACAUUCAUCUUAGCCGAUUUCUGUUACUAUUAUGUCAAAAGGUUAGUAUAGUUCAUAAUAUAGUUUUUUUGCAAUCUUUUUGCGGCUUUUGCUGGUUACGACGUAAGAUAUGUCCAACACGACUCCACACGAUUGUCCUAAUGAUGUUUAUUAUAUUGCAGCGUUUUCGGAGGACAGCUUGUUCUGCGUCUUCCCUCUGGAGUGGUGUGAUUAAAGAUCUAUGCCCUCACAUUUUCUUUAACUUAAUCAGGCAUCAUGUUUGGUUACCCAUGUUAGACUUAGAGUACACUUUGUGUUGACAUACUUAUUCUGUUCCUGGUGGAAUGUGUAAAGUUGGGGAUGAAAGUAGACUAAAUAUAUUUUAUGUUAUGCGGUACGGUUAUUUAUUAUGGUUCAUAAUGUUUUAUACUUCAUAAAGUCUCUAUUUGAUUAGAGUUUUUGUUACAAUUACUCUUCUUUACUCUUCUUUAUUGAUAAACUUUGUAUCACAAUUGUAUAAAGAUUUUUAAGCACAAAGGUUCCUUGCUAGAAUCCCCUCAAAAGUGAUUCCAGGUCCAAAAGCAAGUAUCAAUCCCCAUUCAGGAUCUCCUCCUCCUUCCUUUCUAAUCUUGUUUCCUUCUUCUAUCAUGUACUCCAACACAUAAACAAUAGUAUUACUGCUAGCAUUUCCAUAAUCCCUAAGAGCUUUCCUACUGGCAUUCAGCUUCUUAGGCAACAGCUCAAGCCGUUUCUCCAUGCGAUUCAAUAUCGCAGGUCCUCCUGGAUGAACAGCCCAAAACAGCUUAUUGUACUCCUUAUUCUCCAACCCACCAACAUCCAUUAGGUUGUCACAGAAUCCCUCAACAUUGUCUUCAAUUAUCUGAGGAAGAUCUCUCGCCAGCGUGAAGCUUAUCCCUUCCUCUGUCAGUCUCCCAUCGAUUUUCUUCUCAGUGUCUGGUAUAAACUCCUGAGCUGAAGUAUGAAGCUCGAACAACGGCUUCUCAGUUUCCAAUAUCGGGUCUGAACCAAUUAUCAUAGCACCAGCACCAUCUCCAAAGAGCGCCACACCAACAAGAUCAUAGGGUCUAUCAGCACUCGGUGGCUUGAAUCCAAUAAUUGUCGUCUCAGAAGUAGCAAGCAAAAUUCUGCUACCAGGGUUGUUUUCAGCUAUGUCUUUUGCAACGCGCAAACCAGCCACACCUCCAGAGCAACCAGCGAAAUAAAGCAUAACUCGUUGAAUUUUAGGACUCAGUCCUAGUCCGCUCGAUAAAUAAAGAUCACCACCCGGUAACCUAGCUUCACUAGACGAAACAUAAACCACAUGUGUUAUGUCAGAUAAAGAUCCACCCCAAUUCUUUAUGCAAACUUGAGAAGCUUCAAUCGCCAUUUGUGUCACUGCCUUGUUACAUAUCUCUAGACGUUGUUUUACAGUAGCCGCGCCUUCAACAGCAAGUUCCGGAUACUUUUUUAGUAUCUCCUCCGACAUAACAACAUACCUCGUUUUCACUGUCGUCGUCUUGCCUGUUGUUCAUACCAAAUCAAGCCAAAUUUAAUCGUUAGUAACACAUAAACAUGGUUUUAGUAAAAAAAAAUACUUGAACUAUUGUGUGUAUUUCACUAUAUACUUACAAAGUCUAGCAAGUUUCUGCUUAAGUUCAGGAUUAUCACAAUUAGUGUCCCUGAAAUAUCCAUCAACUAAAUACUCUUGCAUCACAAGCUGGUGAGGGAAAGCCUUGCCAAGAGCCAAUAUAGUAGCCUUACCUGGUGUGACAUGCUUUGUGACAGUUCUAACUAUACCUUCAUCUCCCAUAUUUCUUCUUUUUGCUAGUUCAAAUAUGUGUUAUAUUUGUCUAUGCAGUGAAUGUUACUUAUCCACAAUAUUUUGGAUAGAGAAUGCACAAGUAUAUAUAGUAUUGUAUUUUGGCAUGUUGGGAGUAAUAAUAGUGUGACAAGUUUAGAAUAGGCAAUACAUGAAGUGUGCAAUUGGUAAAUGUGUGUUAGUUGGAAGGUAAGUCGUUCAUAGUAAUUGUGUCAUACAUUAGUUGCUAGAAUGAGGUUGGGACUUGAGAUUUGAUUCUUAUUUGUAUUGUAAGCAUGUGUUUUCUCCAAUUUUGACUCUCUCUUCACAUCACUAAAUCUGAGUUGAGUUUAGCUUAAUAUGAUCUCUAUGUUUAAGAAUCAUGGAAAGUUUAAAUAGAGUAUUUUAUACUUUUAGAUUGUAGGAUUUAAAGGUUUAAAAAUUAUAAAAUUUAAAUCAUUUUACACGUUUGGGUAUGAUUCAAAAGUGUAAAAAUUAUAAAAUUUAAAAUCAAUAUUUUAUACGUUCUAAUCGUAGAAUACGAACCGUAAAAUAUUAUAAAAGAUUUUAAGAGUAUUUUACACAUUUGAAUUAUAGGAUUUGAAAGUGUAAAAGAAAUUUGAAAAUUUUGAAGGACAAUUUAGUUACAGUGUAGAAUUCAAAAAAUUUAAAGAGUCCGUCCCGUCCCGUUCAAUUUUCUUUGUGUAUUUCCGCAAUAAUGAACAUUUACAUAGACUUUUCUGUUUUUAAGUUUAAAAUAUGCAGUGUUAGCUGACUUUACCAGUCUUGCCCUCACUUUUUUUUGCAGGAUGAGCUUAGGUCGUCCCGUCUUGUUUUUUUUUUCUUCAGGUUUUUACGGGACGAGGCGGGUAUGCCUGUUUGACAUCUCUACCUUUGAGUGGUAGUAUCUUUUUGUUGUUAAAAAAAUUGAAAAAUUGAAAAAGAAUGUUUUAAUCAUUUGAAUUGUGGAACCUAAAAAAAAUCUAUAAAAAAUGUGAGAUUCGAAAAGCCAUAAAUUAUUAGAGAGGUCUAUCGAUUUUUUUAUCAUGUUAGGCUGAUUUGAGGGUUGUAUGAGAAUCUGCUGGAGAUAUGAAUUCGACGGACAUAGAACAUGAAUUUUACAUGGUCAAUCUUAAUAGGGUUGAAUACAAAGAUAUAAUUAGAGAAAGUGGUACGUGCAUGGUAUUUAAUCACUAUUUUACAUUGCGCGAUUGGAUUAUUAUUUUUUACAAGAUAAAUUACAUCAUUAUAGUACAAUGACUUGAAUUUGUAUCCUUAAAAUAUUAUGAUAGGAGUGUAUUUAUUGCUUUUGCUACAACCAUUGAGAAAUCAGAUGAAGUUUAUUGAUGCACAAGAGAAAGAAGAUGGAGAUGAGGAAAGAGAAGAGAGAAACUGAAUCGUAACUAAUUUUUAAAGUGAAAUUGAUUGCAAUAAAAAUUCUAUUACACUUUUCUAACUUAGCAUAGGUUCAAUAUUUAUACAUACACUAAGAAUUACUUGUCAAACUAAAUGCAUCUCAAAUUAAACUUAAAUGAUAAUUAAAUGAAAUGCUAACUGAAUAUUGGAUUACACUCCAAUACCAUCACCAAUACCAUCAUGUUUACCGAUAAAUAUGAUAAACAAAACAAGUUUAUAUUAAUACUUAAGGAUCAAAUUUGAAAAUCUCCCGGAACAUAUUUGUGUGAAUUUAAACCUCUAAACAUCAUGUUAUGAUUGAAAUCGAAACAAAAUGUGAAGAUAAUAAUGUGAAAUUUCGACAAGACUUAGAAUGUAAAAGGUUUUGAAAUAAAGAUGAACUCAGAUCGAAAUGUAAACUGAAGAUAAAAUGACAGGAAUCGAAAUGUAACUGAAUGCAGAGAAAUACUUGAACGUAAAAGUGUUUGAAAUUU